RNAcentral lists this ribosomal RNA (371 nucleotides) under uncultured bacterium. Its description in RNAcentral is "partial 16S ribosomal RNA". It matches the Rfam family "Bacterial small subunit ribosomal RNA", at positions 338 to 724 of the family's 1533-position model. The record is from RNAcentral.
CCUACGGGGGGCAGCAGUGGGGAAUAUUGGGCAAUGGGCGAAAGUCUGCCCCAGCAACGCCGCGUGAAGGAAGAAGGCUUUCAGGUUGUAAACUUCUUUUGACAGGGAAGAGUAGAAGACGGUACCUGUCGAAUAAGCCACGGCUAACUACGGGCCAGCAGCCGCGGUAAUACGUAGGUGGCAAGCGUUGUCCGGAUUUACUGGGUGUAAAGGGCGUGUAGCCGGGUUGACAAGUCAGAUGUGAAAUCCUGCGGCUUAACCGCAGAACUGCAUUUGAAACUGUUGGUCUUGAGUACUGGAGAGGCAGACGGAAUUCCUAGUGUAGCGGUGAAAGGCGUAGAUAGUAGGAGGAACACCAGGGGCGAAGGCGG